This 557-nucleotide ribosomal RNA is filed under the name Salmonella enterica subsp. enterica serovar Enteritidis. RNAcentral describes it as "partial 23S ribosomal RNA". It matches the Rfam family "Bacterial large subunit ribosomal RNA", at positions 1 to 598 of the family's 2925-position model. Lineage: Bacteria; Pseudomonadati; Pseudomonadota; Gammaproteobacteria; Enterobacterales; Enterobacteriaceae. The record is from RNAcentral.
GGUUAAGCGACUAAGCGUACACGGUGGAUGCCCUGGCAGUCAGAGGCGAUGAAGGGCGUGCUAAUCUGCGAUAAGCGCCGGUAAGGUGAUAUGAACCGUUAUAACCGGCGAUACCCGAAUGGGGAAACCCAGUGUGAUUCGUCACACUAUCAUUAACUGAAUCCAUAGGUUAAUGAGGCGAACCGGGGGAACUGAAACAUCUAAGUACCCCGAGGAAAAGAAAUCAACCGAGAUUCCCCCAGUAGCGGCGAGCGAACGGGGAGGAGCCCAGAGCCUGAAUCAGCAUGUGUGUUAGUGGAAGCGUCUGGAAAGGCGCGCGAUACAGGGUGACAGCCCCGUACACAAAAGCGCAUGUGCUGUGAGCUCGAUGAGUAGGGCGGGACACGUGGUAUCCUGUCUGAAUAUGGGGGGACCAUCCUCCAAGGCUAAAUACUCCUGACUGACCGAUAGUGAACCAGUACCGUGAGGGAAAGGCGAAAAGAACCCCGGCGAGGGGAGUGAAAAAGAACCUGAAACCGUGUACGUACAAGCAGUGGGAGCACCCUUUGGGUGUGACU